AGAGUUUGAUUCUGGCUCAGGAUGAACGCUGGCGGCGUGCCUAACACAUGCAAGUCGAACGAAGCACUUUGGAGGAAUCUUCGGAGGACACUGAAGUGACUGAGUGGCGGACGGGUGAGUAACGCGUGGGUAACCUGCCCUGUACAGGGGGAUAACAGCCAGAAAUGGCUGCUAAUACCGCAUAAGCGCACAAAAGGACAUCCUUUCGUGUGAAAAACUCCGGUGGUACAGGAUGGGCCCGCGUCUGAUUAGCUGGUUGGCGGGGUAACGGCCCACCAAGGCGACGAUCAGUAGCCGGUCUGAGAGGAUGAACGGCCACAUUGGAACUGAGACACGGUCCAA
RNAcentral lists this ribosomal RNA (342 nucleotides) under uncultured bacterium. RNAcentral's name for it is "bacterial SSU rRNA". It matches the Rfam family "Bacterial small subunit ribosomal RNA", at positions 8 to 334 of the family's 1533-position model. The record is from RNAcentral.